UAGGGAAUCUUCCACAAUGGGCGAAAGGCCCUGAUGGAGCAACGCCGCGUGUGUGAUGAAGGGUUUCGGCUCGUAAACACUGUUGUAAGAGAAGAAUGACAUUGAGAGUAACUGUUCAAUGUGUGACGGUAUCUUACCAGAAAGGAACGGCUAAAUACGUGCCAG
Molecule: ribosomal RNA, 165 nt
Filed under: uncultured bacterium
Lineage: Bacteria
Description: partial 16S rRNA
Rfam family: Bacterial small subunit ribosomal RNA
Source: RNAcentral